UGGGACGACGUCAAGUCAGCAUGACCUUUAUAUCCAGGGCUACACACACGCUACAAUGGUCAGUACAAUGGGUUGCCAAGCCGCGAGGCGGAGCCAAUCCUAAAAAGCUGGCCUCAGUUCAGAUUGCAGUCUGAAACUCGACUGCAUGAAGUCGGAGUUGCUAGUAAACGCAGGUCAGCUAUACUGCGUUGAAUACGUUCCCGGGGCUU
RNAcentral lists this ribosomal RNA (209 nucleotides) under uncultured Anaerolineaceae bacterium. RNAcentral describes it as "partial 16S ribosomal RNA". It matches the Rfam family "Bacterial small subunit ribosomal RNA", at positions 1175 to 1382 of the family's 1533-position model. The record is from RNAcentral. Lineage: Bacteria; Bacillati; Chloroflexota; Anaerolineae; Anaerolineales; Anaerolineaceae.